Long non-coding RNA from Numida meleagris (helmeted guineafowl), 1168 nucleotides. RefSeq lists it as uncharacterized. NCBI's taxonomy places the organism in Eukaryota, Metazoa, Chordata, Aves, Galliformes, Numididae. The record is from RefSeq and is a predicted model, not a curated record. The transcript has 2 exons.
GAUCCUGCUACCCACACACAGAAUAGAGGCUUGCUUCCAUUCCAGGAAGGCUGAUCAGAGAGUAGGACAGCAGGCAGCUCAAGGAAGGGUGGUGAAAUUCAGCUUCUAAUUAUUAGAUUAAAGCCUUAAAGCAGUUGUCAUGUAUGAAGGAACAAAGUGGAAUUUGGCAAACGGGAAGGGAAAAAAACAAAUCUUCUUGCAUGGCUAGUUUGAGUUAGAAAGGACAAUCGAAGGUUUAACUACUGCAUGGGGCUGGGGUAAGUAGAAUGUAAGGCAAGAUAAGAAAAGGAACUCGGCGAAACUCCAUUAUCAGCAGGGAUCAGUACAAGGAACUGGCCAAAGCGGAGUGACUCUGAAAAGCAGCAGUGGGGUGAAAAGGGCAGAGUGAUGAAGACGCCGAGCCUUCAUCCAGCGACCACCAGGAGGAGCUACAACGCAUGCCCCGGGGGAGGGACCGUAUACAAAGGAAUUCCCAGGAAAUGAUGAAUAUGUAGAUGGGUCCCGGGAAACCUGCCGAAUAUGUAUAAGCUUGGCUUUUAAAUAUCUAACAUUUCUGCCCAUGGUUAUGCGAGUUUGGUAGGGCGGUGACCCCCCUCGCAUCCGGUGUGGGCGCAGCACCGUAAUAAACAUACCCGCUUUAGAACCUAAUCUCGGGUGAUGGAGUUUGAUUCCGCAAAUCAGUUUGGCACCCCAGAUGGGACCUUCUCUGCUCGGCUGCAGGACCAGCUGAGUUGGGGGAUGCCUUUGGUGUGCCCUGAGGAUUCUCGGAAGGACUCCCUUCCUCACCGAAUCACUGCGGGGACUGACAAGGACCAUCCAUUGAUGGACCAGCAGGGAUCAGUACAAGGAACCAGACGAAGCCGGAGUGACUCUGAAAAGCAGCAGUGGGGUGAAAAGGGCAGAGUGAUGAAGACGCCGAGCCUUCAUCCAACGACCACCAGGAGGAGCUACAACACAUGCCCCAGGGGGAGGGACCGUAUACAAAGGAAUUCCCAGGAAAUGAUGAAUAUGUAGAUGGGUCCCGGGAAACCUGCUGAAUAUGUAUAAGCUUGGCUUUUAAAUAUCUAACAUUUCUGCCCAUGGUUAUGUGAGUUUGGUAGGGCAGCGACCCCCCUCGUAUCCGUUGUGGGCGCAGCACCAUAAUAAACAUACCCGCUUUAUAACUUAA